Long non-coding RNA from Glycine soja, 760 nucleotides. RefSeq lists it as uncharacterized. NCBI's taxonomy places the organism in Eukaryota, Viridiplantae, Streptophyta, Magnoliopsida, Fabales, Fabaceae. The transcript has 2 exons. The record is from RefSeq and is a predicted model, not a curated record.
GCUAUAUAAAAUUCUUUGUCAAAAGUGAGAAGAGGUAGAUCAUAUUUGAUCCAGACUCUGGAAGUCGCUUAUAAGACCUGCUCUCAGUUCAUCCUUACACAAUCAAACGGUUUGAAAUUAGAAAUUCAGACAAAAAUGUCUACAUAGAUCGCAAUUUCAAGUAAUGGAAAAUAGACUCCAUCAAAGAAGAGUGUUAUUUUCUGAUUGACAUUCACCAAAACAUCAUGGAUCCAGUGGUAGUAGAAAUGACAAGGCUUGGAACUGGCUGCCAAGGACAACUUUUCAUGAUGAGUAUAUAAGAGAUGAAGAGUAUGUAACUUCAAUUGCAGCAACAACAUUUGCAUUUCAUUCUCUAGAAGAAGCAGAGUUACGGAACUUGAAAAAAUGAGAGAGCACCCCAAAUCUUCAUGGAUCCAAACUAUGAGAAUAAAAGAGAAUGUCAGAUCAGGGUGGCCAAGUUAUGCUAAUUAUAACUUCUCAAAAUAAAAUUUAUAUACCUAGCAUCCUAUGUCUAUGGUCAAGUUUCACUCCUUGUUAUUAUGAAAAAUUGCUUAAUUAUAUCCCCUCCAAUGCCUGUAUACCCAGCACUUUAGUUGGUGUCUCAGACACCAGUGUUUCAGAAAAACACCAGUGUUGUACAAUCCACUAUUUAGAGUAUUUCAGACUUCAAAAUGUAAUUUGGUCAUGACAAACCUGCAUACUCAUGAAGAUUGUACCACACAUAUUUUGUUGAGAAGUAAAAAUUCUUUAGUUUACCUUA